Molecule: ribosomal RNA, 445 nt
Filed under: uncultured bacterium
Lineage: Bacteria
Description: SSU rRNA
Rfam family: Bacterial small subunit ribosomal RNA
Source: RNAcentral
AGAACGAACGCUGGCGGCAGGCCUCAAACAUGCAAGUCUAGGGGGCGUAGCAAUACGUCACCGGCGGACGGGUGCGUAACACGUGGGAAUGUACUUACUGGUUCGGAACAACUCAGGGAAACUUGAGCUAAUACCGAAUGUGCCCGAAAGGGGAAAGAUUUAUCGCCAGUAAAUCAGCCCGCGUCCGAUUAGCUAGUUGGUGGGGUAAAGGCCCACCAAGGCGACGAUCGGUAGCUGUUCUGAGAGGAAGAUCAGCCACACUGGGACUGAGACACGGCCCCAGACUCCUACGGGAGGCAGCAGUUGGGAAUCUUGGACAUGGGGAAACCCUGAUCCAGCCAUGCCGCGUGAGUGAUGAAGGCCUUCGGGUUGUAAAUUCUUUCAGCGGGGACGAUAAUGACGGUACCCGCAGAAGAGCCCCGGCUAACUUCGCGCCAGCAGCCGC